RNAcentral lists this ribosomal RNA (801 nucleotides) under Triticum aestivum (bread wheat). Its description in RNAcentral is "partial small subunit ribosomal RNA". The record is from RNAcentral. Lineage: Eukaryota; Viridiplantae; Streptophyta; Magnoliopsida; Poales; Poaceae.
AUGCAGUUGCUAGUCCAGAAUCAGAAUCAGGGGAACAACAACAACCCACCACCACCACCACCACCACAUGUUGAUCACUUAGCCCGUUUUCUUAGGCUGAAUCCGCUGGUGUUUUCCACUAGGACCGAGCUGAUAGUAGCAGAUGAUUGGCUCCGCAAGACAGCUAGAGAGUUAACCACAACAGGAUGCACAGAUGCGGAGAAGGUGAUGUUUGCCGCACAUCAGCUUGAAGGACCCGCAGCAUCAUGGUGGGAGAAUUUCACAGCCACUUUCCCUGUCGACACUGUCACAUGGGACCAGUUUCAGCAAGCCUUUCGUACUGCUCAUGUUUCAGCAGGAGCUAUGGCCAUGAAGAAGCGUGAGUUUCGCAACUUGCACCAAGGAGGACGGACAGUUGGCCAGUAUGUGGAGGACUUUAGUAAAUUAGCACGUUAUGCCCCAGAUGACGUUGCUACGGAUGCAGCUAAGCAGGAGAAGUUUCUGGAAGGACUGAAUGAUGAGUUGAGCAUGCAGUUUAUGGUAGCAACCUUCAACAACUACCAGGAGUUGGUAGACCGUGCUCUUAUGAUUGAAGGCAAGCAGCAGCAAAUUGAGAACCGCAAAAGGAAGUAUGGACAAGGAAAGUACAAUUCUGGAGCUCAGCAGAAGCCACGUUUUACCCCUAGACCGGAAGGACUUUUUAGCAUACCCAUGGAGGAGGUAGCUCGCACAAUCACAAUGGCACCAAGAAUGGUAAUGGGAAUGGAGGAAGCAAUGGCCAGAACCGCACCAACCUAUCAACCCCAGUCAAGAAAGACCUAA